GUGAGGAAUAUUGGUCAAUGGACGAGAGUCUGAACCAGCCAAGUCGCGUGAAGGAAGACGGUUCUAUGAAUUGUAAACUUCUUUUGUGCAGGAAUAAAGUGGGUUACGUGUAACCUUUUGUAUGUACUGUACGAAUAAGGAUCGGCUAACUCCGUGCCAGCAGCCGCGGUAAUACGGAGGAUCCGAGCGUUAUCCGGAUUUAUUGGGUUUAAAGGGUGCGUAGGUGGAUUGAUAAGUCAGCGGUGAAAUGUUGCAGCUUAACAUUAAAAUGGACGUUGAAACUGUCGGUCUUGAGUGCAAAUGAGGUAGGCGGAAUGUGGUAUGUAGCGGUGAAAUGCUUAGAUAUAACACAGAACUCCGAUUGCGAAGGCAGCUUACUGGGAUGCAACUGACACUGAUGCACGAAAGCGUGGGUAUCAAACAGGAUUAGAAACCCUUGUAGUCC
Molecule: ribosomal RNA, 445 nt
Filed under: uncultured bacterium
Lineage: Bacteria
Description: partial 16S ribosomal RNA
Rfam family: Bacterial small subunit ribosomal RNA
Source: RNAcentral